UACGGGGGGGGGCAAGCGUUGUUCGGAAUUACUGGGCGUAAAGGGCUCGUAGGCGGCCAACUAAGUCAGACGUGAAAUCCCUCGGCUUAACCGGGGGAACGCAUCUGAUACUGGAUGGCUUGAGUUCGGGAGAGGGAUGCGGAAUUCCAGGUGUAGCGGUGAAAUGCGUAGAUAUCUGGAGGAACACCGGUGGCGAAGGCGGCAUCCUGGACCGACACUGACGCUGAGGAGCGAAAGCCAGGGGAGCAAACGGG
RNAcentral lists this ribosomal RNA (254 nucleotides) under uncultured bacterium. Its description in RNAcentral is "partial 16S ribosomal RNA". It matches the Rfam family "Bacterial small subunit ribosomal RNA", at positions 524 to 776 of the family's 1533-position model. The record is from RNAcentral.